AGAGUUUGAUCAUGGCUCAGGAUGAACGCUGGCGGCGUGCCUAACACAUGCAAGUCGAACGGGAAUCUUCGGAUUCUAGUGGCGGACGGGUGAGUAACGCGUAAGAAUCUAACUUCAGGACGGGGACAACAGUUGGAAACGACUGCUAAUACCCGAUAUGCCGCAAGGUGAAACCUAAUUGGCCUGAAGAAGAGCUUGCGUCUGAUUAGCUAGUUGGUGGGGUAAGAGCCUACCAAGGCGACGAUCAGUAGCUGGUCUGAGAGGAUGAGCAGCCACACUGGGACUGAGACACGGCCCAGACUCCUACGGGAGGCAGCAGUGGGGAAUUUUCCGCAAUGGGCGAAAGCCUGACGGAGCAACGCCGCGUGAGGGAGGAAGGUCUUUGGAUUGUAAACCUCUUUUCUCAAGGAAGAAGUUCUGACGGUACUUGAGGAAUCAGCCUCGGCUAACUCCGUGCCAGCAGCCGCGGUAAUACGGGGGAGGCAAGCGUUAUCCGGAAUUAUUGGGCGUAAAGCGUCCGCAGGUGGUCAGCCAAGUCGGCCGUCAAAUCAGGUUGCUUAACGACCUAAAGGCGGUGGAAACUGGCAGACUAGAGAGCAGUAGGGGUAGCAGGAAUUCCCAGUGUAGCGGUGAAAUGCGUAGAGAUUGGGGAAGAACAUCGGUGGCGAAAGCGUGCUACUGGGCUGUAUCUGACACUCAGGGACGAAAGCUAGGGGAGCGAAAGGGAUUAGAUACCCCUGUAGUCCUAGCCGUAAACGAUGGAUACUAGGCGUGGCUUGUAUCGACCCGAGCCGUGCCGAAGCUAACGCGUUAAGUAUCCCGCCUGGGGAGUACGCACGCAAGUGUGAA
RNAcentral lists this ribosomal RNA (849 nucleotides) under uncultured bacterium. RNAcentral describes it as "bacterial SSU rRNA". It matches the Rfam family "Bacterial small subunit ribosomal RNA", at positions 8 to 898 of the family's 1533-position model. The record is from RNAcentral.